Molecule: ribosomal RNA, 253 nt
Filed under: uncultured bacterium
Lineage: Bacteria
Description: partial 16S ribosomal RNA
Rfam family: Bacterial small subunit ribosomal RNA
Source: RNAcentral
UACGUAGGGUGCGAGCGUUAAUCGGAAUUACUGGGCGUAAAGCGUGCGCAGGCGGUUUUGUAAGACAGGCGUGAAAUCCCCGGGCUCAACCUGGGAAUGGCGCUUGUGACUGCAAAGCUGGAGUGCGGCAGAGGGGGAUGGAAUUCCGCGUGUAGCAGUGAAAUGCGUAGAUAUGCGGAGGAACACCGAUGGCGAAGGCAAUCCCCUGGACCUGUACUGACGCUCAUGCACGAAAGCGUGGGGAGCAAACAGG